GCGAUGAGCUAAGCUGCAUAAGACGGACAGGCAUUCCUUUAUGGAACACGUUGUGGAGCGUGGCCUGAUACGCCGCAGCUAUCGAUACAUCCCGCAUUUAUGCGGGGUGU
This 110-nucleotide small RNA is filed under the name Planococcus rifietoensis. RNAcentral's name for it is "BsrF". It matches the Rfam family "BsrF". Lineage: Bacteria; Bacillati; Bacillota; Bacilli; Caryophanales; Caryophanaceae. The record is from Rfam by way of RNAcentral.